AGAUUGAACGCUGGCGGCAUGCCUUACACAUGCAAGUCGAACGGCAGCACGGGAGCAAUCCUGGUGGCGAGUGGCGAACGGGUGAGUAAUAUAUCGGAACGUGCCCAGUCGUGGGGGAUAACGCAGCGAAAGCUGUGCUAAUACCGCAUACGAUCUAUGGAUGAAAGCGGGGGAUCGCAAGACCUCGCGCGAUUGGAGCGGCCGAUAUCAGAUUAGCUAGUUGGUGGGGUAAAAGCCUACCAAGGCGACGAUCUGUAGCUGGUCUGAGAGGACGACCAGCCACACUGGAACUGAGACACGU
This 301-nucleotide ribosomal RNA is filed under the name uncultured soil bacterium. Its description in RNAcentral is "bacterial SSU rRNA". It matches the Rfam family "Bacterial small subunit ribosomal RNA", at positions 26 to 329 of the family's 1533-position model. The record is from RNAcentral.